Non-coding RNA from Bactrocera oleae (olive fruit fly), 961 nucleotides. Lineage: Eukaryota; Metazoa; Arthropoda; Insecta; Diptera; Tephritidae. The record is from RefSeq and is a predicted model, not a curated record.
AGUAUUUAUACAGUAGUUUUUGAUCAAAAAUUUCCUUCUUAAAAAUGUGGAAAGUUCACAAGAAAGUUGUCGACAAAAAAACUUAUGCAUAGACCAGUGCAAGAAUACUUUGAAAAUGAGAAAAAUAAAAUAAGUCAUAGUAGAUUGAAACCCGUCGGAAAUGAAAAAUAAAAUGAUAAACAUUAAUUGAAAUAUAAUUUAUGGGCGAUCUGAGUAUUAUUACAAUAUUAUUAUCACAUUUUACGGCAAACUAAAAAAAGUAAAGGCUUCUAGAAGACUAAUUCGAGCUUUAGUAUAUAAAUACAUUAGUAUACACUUCUUAUAGGUAUACAUGUGUUGAUAAAACGAAUGUUUGAGAGUUGACAUCACUCAGCGCAAGUCCAAUUGAAAAUGUUGGUCACAAUCACGCCAUGCUCGAUAAUAGGUACAAAAGCCUGAAUAGACAGGCUGCAUAAUAAAUCAACCAUGUUUCUCUCGAGAUAGAACUUCAGAUUGUCUGCUACCAGAACUCUUACUCGGUAUAAGAUGUGGUAUAACUCUUUGGACGGGCUCAGAACUAUUUAAAUCAAAAUUAAACAUAAUUUGUGACACGAUAAAAGGCUUCAAAAUGUGUAUACUGGCUCACCAGUUGGCGAAGAGAUUCAGCAGUUUUCCAAAAUAGUUUUGCACCUUAAUCUCAAAUAUAGAAGGAAGAUCAUUAGUAAACUGGGUUUGCUAAUAUAAUAUAUUUUUAUCCUGCAAAAUUUCAAAGUAUCCCAAAAUAGGAAAAGAAGCCAAACAUUUAACGAUUACUUGGUGUAGUUAACGAAACUCUCAGAAGUGUCAUUAACUAAUUACUUCAGUUCCCUGACUUAUCUCUAUAGCAAUUUUUUCGUUUAAGAUGAUUAUAAAUUAAAGUUUUAAACCUCAAUCCAAUGUAUAAGGUGUAGAAAAACAAGAAUCCAUUAUUUUUGCAAUAUAA